Molecule: ribosomal RNA, 376 nt
Filed under: uncultured bacterium
Lineage: Bacteria
Description: bacterial SSU rRNA
Rfam family: Bacterial small subunit ribosomal RNA
Source: RNAcentral
GACAGAGGGUGCAAACGUUGUUCGGAAUUACUGGGCGUAAAGCGCGUGUAGGCUGCUUGGAAAGUCGGAUGUGAAAGCCCUGGGCUCAACCCAGGAAGUGCACUCGAAACUUCCAAGCUGGAGUCCUGGAGAGGAAGGCGGAAUUCUCGGUGUAGAGGUGAAAUUCGUAGAUAUCGAGAGGAACACCGGUGGCGAAGGCGGCCUUCUGGACAGUGACUGACGCUAAGACGCGAAAGCGUGGGGAGCAAACAGGAUUAGAUACCCUGGUAGUCCACGCCGUAAACGAUGGGUGCUAGGUGUCGCGGGCUUUGACCCCCGCGGUGCCGUAGCUAACGCAUUAAGCACCCCGCCUGGGGAGUACGGCCGCAAGGCUAAA